AUACGUAGGUGGCGAGCGUUGUCCGGAAUUACUGGGUGUAAAGGGCGCGUAGGCGGGGAUGUAAGUCAGAUGUGAAACUCCGGGGCUUAACCUCGGAAGUGCAUCUGAAACUAUAUCUCUUGAGUGCUGGAGAGGGAAGCGGAAUUCCUAGUGUAGCGGUGAAAUGCGUAGAUAUUAGGAGGAACACCAGUGGCGAAGGCGGCUUUCUGGACAGUAACUGACGCUGAGGCGCGAAAGCGUGGGGAGCAAACAGGAUUAGAUACCCUGGUAGUCCACGCCGUAAACGAUGGAUACUAGGUGUAGGGGGUAAUUAAACUCUCUGUGCCGGAGUUAACACAAUAAGUAUCCCACCUAGGGAGUACGGCCGCAAGGUUGAA
Molecule: ribosomal RNA, 377 nt
Filed under: uncultured bacterium
Lineage: Bacteria
Description: bacterial SSU rRNA
Rfam family: Bacterial small subunit ribosomal RNA
Source: RNAcentral